UACAGAGACUGCAAGCGUUAUUCGGAUUCACUGGGCGUAAAGGGUGCGCAGGUGGCCAGGUGUGUUAGGCGUGAAAGCCCGGGGCUUAACCCCGGAAUUGCACCUAAAACUACUUGGCUAGAGCAUUGGAGAGGGGAGCAGAAUUCAUGGUGUAGCAGUGAAAUGCGUAGAUAUCAUGAGGAAUACCAGAGGCGAAGGCGGCUCCCUGGACAAUUGCUGACGCUCAGGCACGAAAGCGUGGGGAGCAAAAGGG
This 253-nucleotide ribosomal RNA is filed under the name uncultured bacterium. RNAcentral describes it as "partial 16S ribosomal RNA". It matches the Rfam family "Bacterial small subunit ribosomal RNA", at positions 524 to 776 of the family's 1533-position model. The record is from RNAcentral.